Molecule: ribosomal RNA, 342 nt
Filed under: Triticum aestivum (bread wheat)
Lineage: Eukaryota; Viridiplantae; Streptophyta; Magnoliopsida; Poales; Poaceae
Description: partial small subunit ribosomal RNA
Source: RNAcentral
AUGGUGGUUGCCAUCGGAGGUUGCUCCUACGCUGGCCUUCUUUCCUUCAGCCAGCCGCUCGGCUUCACGUUUAGCAGUGGUCGUCGCCGUCACGUCCUGGCCGUCGGCGACGCGCUGUCGCUGCUCGAGGCCUCCUCCUCCCCGUCGACCUUCUUUGCGGCUCCGGUCGGGGCCUGGUAUGGAUCGGCGCACGCGUUAGCUGGGCUUACUUCGGCGUGGCUGUCUACAUCAUCGAGUUCAGCUGCGGGCUCCUCACCAGCACGCAUGGAGUGCAGACGGUUGUUCUUGCUCCUUUCGUCAUUUAAUUCGCUCUUUCUCGACCUCCAAUUGAUUCUCUGCUAG